This 605-nucleotide ribosomal RNA is filed under the name Trichoderma harzianum. RNAcentral's name for it is "eukaryotic LSU rRNA". The stretch from base 227 to 380 matches the Rfam family "5.8S ribosomal RNA". Lineage: Eukaryota; Fungi; Ascomycota; Sordariomycetes; Hypocreales; Hypocreaceae. The record is from RNAcentral.
UUGGUGACCAGCGGAGGGAUCAUUACCGAGUUUACAACUCCCAAACCCAAUGUGAACGUUACCAAACUGUUGCCUCGGCGGGAUCUCUGCCCCGGGUGCGUCGCAGCCCCGGACCAAGGCGCCCGCCGGAGGACCAACCUAAAACUCUUUUUGUAUACCCCCUCGCGGGUUUUUUAUAAUCUGAGCCUUCUCGGCGCCUCUCGUAGGCGUUUCGAAAAUGAAUCAAAACUUUCAACAACGGAUCUCUUGGUUCUGGCAUCGAUGAAGAACGCAGCGAAAUGCGAUAAGUAAUGUGAAUUGCAGAAUUCAGUGAAUCAUCGAAUCUUUGAACGCACAUUGCGCCCGCCAGUAUUCUGGCGGGCAUGCCUGUCCGAGCGUCAUUUCAACCCUCGAACCCCUCCGGGGGGUCGGCGCUGGGGAUCGGCCCUCCCUUAGCGGGUGGCCGUCUCCGAAAUACAGUGGCGGUCUCGCCGCAGCCUCUCCUGCGCAGUAGUUUGCACACUCGCAUCGGGAGCGCGGCGCGUCCACAGCCGUUAAACACCCAACUUCUGAAAUGUUGACCUCGGAUCAGGUAGGAAUACCCGCUGAACUUAAGCAUAUCAAUA